CACCAGCUCCGACCCCUCCUCCUCCUCCUGUCAUAAAACCUGCACCGAAGCUAGUGCCAAAACCUUCACCGACUCCUGCUCUGACGCCUGCUCCAACGCCUGCACCCACACCAGUACCGACUCCUGCCCCGACGCGUGCUCCAACACCUGCACCCACACCCGCACCGACCCCUGUGCCGACUCCAGCCACUACCCCUGCACCGACCCCUGCUCCAACUCCAGCCCCAACACCCGCACCAAACCCUACACCGACUCCUACUCCGACGCCCACGCCGACCCCUACACCGACACCAACACCCACACCGACCCCUGCUCCAACUCCAGCACCGACCCUUGCACCGACACAUGCACCGACGCCCGUCCCAACCCCUGCUCCAACUCCAGCGCCGACACCUGCACCGACCCCUACACCGACUCCUGCUCUGACGCCUGCUCCAACGCCUGCACCCACACCAGUACCGACUCCUGCCCCGACGCGUGCUCCAACACCUGCACCCACACCCGCACCGACCCCUGUGCCGACUCCAGCCACUACCCCUGCACCGACCCCUGCUCCAACUCCAGCCCCAACACCCGCACCAAACCCUACACCGACUCCUACUCCGACGCCCACGCCGACCCCUACACCGACACCAACAC
This 639-nucleotide long non-coding RNA is filed under the name Sorghum bicolor (sorghum). RNAcentral's name for it is "long non-coding RNA (SBIC_LNC007558)". The record is from RNAcentral. Lineage: Eukaryota; Viridiplantae; Streptophyta; Magnoliopsida; Poales; Poaceae.